GUGAAUCAUCGAAUUUUUGAACGCAAAUUGCACUCUCUUCGGAGAGUAUGCCUGUUUGAGGGUCAGCAUAAAAAAAAUGGACGUAGUGGUUGUUUGGAGGUGAAAUAUGUCGGAAAUUGGGUAAUUUUAAUCGUUUGGGUUUUUAAGGGGCUUAAAAUUUGUUUUAUGACUCAACGAACGUUUAUAAGAUUUUAAUUAAUACAUACGUUUAAGGUAUGGA
RNAcentral lists this unclassified non-coding RNA (220 nucleotides) under Glomus sp. RNAcentral describes it as "partial contains 5.8S ribosomal RNA and internal transcribed spacer 2". The stretch from base 1 to 65 matches the Rfam family "5.8S ribosomal RNA", at positions 84 to 154 of the family's 154-position model. The record is from RNAcentral. Lineage: Eukaryota; Fungi; Glomeromycota; Glomeromycetes; Glomerales; Glomeraceae.